AUACGGUAGGGGGCAAGCGUUAUCCGGAUUUACGUGGGUGUAAAGGGAGCGUAGGCGGCAAGGCAAGUCUGAUGUGAAAACCCGGGGCUCAACCCCGGGACUGCAUUGGAAACUGCUUAGCUAGAGUGUCGGAGAGGUAAGUGGAAUUCCUAGUGUAGCGGUGAAAUGCGUAGAUAUUAGGAGGAACACCAGUGGCGAAGGCGACUUACUGGACGAUAACUGACGCUGAGGCUCGAAAGCGUGGGGAGC
RNAcentral lists this ribosomal RNA (249 nucleotides) under uncultured bacterium. Its description in RNAcentral is "partial 16S ribosomal RNA". It matches the Rfam family "Bacterial small subunit ribosomal RNA", at positions 523 to 769 of the family's 1533-position model. The record is from RNAcentral.